Molecule: long non-coding RNA, 596 nt
Filed under: Daucus carota (carrot)
Lineage: Eukaryota; Viridiplantae; Streptophyta; Magnoliopsida; Apiales; Apiaceae
Description: long non-coding RNA (DCAR_LNC007589)
Source: RNAcentral
ACUUCGAAAACACAAGAAUCAAGUAAUCAAACUACUGUCUCACUGAUUGUACUCCUGAUUAAAAGAAACAAGUUUGAAGGAUAUUAUCUUGCAAUCUAUGGCUAGGGUUCAUCACCCAUAUUAAGGGGUUUUUUAUGGGGAAUCGAUUUCAGGCAUUAUGAGUGGAGGUAUGUUACAUAUUUGAUGAUGUCACAGGUAUCUAACUUGUUUAGUGUGCAGAAGCAAAUAUCAGAGUUUAACUCAAAUCAGAGUUUAACAACUGCCAGCUGGAUCAGAGUUUAUCGAUGAUCAGAGUUUGCAGGCGGCUGAUUUUCAGGAGCAGAUCUGGCUAAAUAAGGAAGAUAAAGAUCAAGGGAGAUUGUGCAAAUCAGGACAGCAGAAAAUUAGAUUAUUUUGGGAAGCAGAUAAUUAUAAAUCAAUCAGUAGAUAUCAUGUAACUGUGUAUAUAAACACAGAUUAGGGUUUACUCUAUAAGAGUUAUAACAUCGAGAAUAUUAUUCUUGUACCCCAGCAGCUCUUAGUGAUAAGAUAUAAAUCACUAAGAGAGUUUUUGUAACCUACUGAGUUUUGUGAAUAAGAGUUUACUUUGUUAAUUC